GGGACAAGGAACUUCCGAAUAUGGCCUAACUGGGGGCACAUAACAUAACAUAACCUAAUCCUAAUAUUUACAUUUGUAAAGAAUAUCCUGUUUGUUUUUAUUGUCGAUUGUGCAGCGAAAUUGUGUGCAGCAAAUCAAAUAUAAAGUAGUUUAUCGCCUACAGAACUGAAUUAGUCCAUAGCAGUUAUCAGUUUUUCUUUCUUGGGAAGCUUAUACAUGUAACUUGUAUUGUUGUAAAUUGUGGGAGUAGGGCAGACAGGGAAAAGUCUUAUUUUGUACUGUUCCCAAGGCUCCCCAUGCAAUACAUUUAAAUGAAUUAUCCAAACAAAGCUGGGGACAAUGGAUAAAAGCCACAAGAAGAACAGAUAUAAGGGAACUAAAAUUAAAAUAUGAAAAGUAAACAUUUUAUAAGUGGAACAACCACCAGAUAUUUAAAAGGUAUAAAAAGAAGAAACUGCUGGAAUUUCAAAACAAAUGUGUUUGACUAGUAAAGAUUUGGAUAAAUAACAGGAGUUACUUUGGGCUAUAGCUAAGUGCAGAUUUAUUUCCUUGUGGCUUCCUAUGUUAAUUCUUAUUAAUUAUACACUUAAAUAUGUUUUUAGUCUCAGGAAGAUUUUAUAUUUGAUUAUUUUUGAAUAAACAUUAUUAUUAUUAUUACCUUAAUUUCCAUUAAAUAAAUUAACUGUAAUCAAUAAAGUAAUCGUUUAAUUGUUAAUAAAUUAUCAAGUAUGA
This 732-nucleotide long non-coding RNA is filed under the name Diabrotica virgifera virgifera (western corn rootworm). Its description in RNAcentral is "uncharacterized LOC126886488". Lineage: Eukaryota; Metazoa; Arthropoda; Insecta; Coleoptera; Chrysomelidae. The record is from RNAcentral.